AUUGAACGCUGGCGGCAGGCCUAACACAUGCAAGUCGAACGGUAGCACAGAGAGCUUGCUCUCGGGUGACGAGUGCCGGACGGGUGAGUAACGUCUGGGAAACUGCCCGAUGGAGGGGGAUAACUACUGGAAACGUUAGCUAAUACCGCAUAACGUCGCAAGACCAAAGUGGGGGACCUUCGGGCCUCACACCAUCGGAUGUGCCCAGAUGGGAUUAGCUAGUAGGUGGGGUAAUGGCUCACCUAGGCGACGAUCCCUAGCUGGUCUGAGAGGAUGACCAGCCACACUGGAACUUAGACACGGUCCAGACUCCUACGGGAGGCAGCAGUGGGGAAUAUUGCACAAUGGGCGCAAGCCUGAUGCAGCCAUGCCGCGUGUAUGAAGAAGGCCUUCGGGUUGUAAAGUACUUUCAGCGGGGAGGAAGGCGGUGAAGUUAACAGCUUCACCGAUUGACGUUACCCGCAGAAGAAGCACCGGCUAACUCCGUGCCAGCCGCCGCAGUAA
This 504-nucleotide ribosomal RNA is filed under the name uncultured bacterium. Its description in RNAcentral is "partial 16S ribosomal RNA". It matches the Rfam family "Bacterial small subunit ribosomal RNA", at positions 30 to 523 of the family's 1533-position model. The record is from RNAcentral.